RNAcentral lists this unclassified non-coding RNA (209 nucleotides) under uncultured fungus. RNAcentral's name for it is "sequence contains ITS1". The record is from RNAcentral. Lineage: Eukaryota; Fungi.
UUAACUAUUAUAUAGUACUCAGACAAUAUUAUUAACAUGAGUUUUAGGUCCUCUGGCAGGCGCUGACCAGCCGAAGCCGGUGGCCCAAGGGCGGGCCUGCCAAAGCAACAAAGGUAAUGUAAACAAAGGGUGGAGUGUUACAGCGACCGAGCGAACCCAGCCGCAUGUAUGACUCUUUAAUGAUCCUUCCGCAGGUUCACCUACGGAAA